Molecule: long non-coding RNA, 591 nt
Filed under: Nicotiana benthamiana
Lineage: Eukaryota; Viridiplantae; Streptophyta; Magnoliopsida; Solanales; Solanaceae
Description: long non-coding RNA (NBEN_LNC011502)
Source: RNAcentral
AAUCUAUUGUUGGUUGUCGUUGGGUGUAUGCAGUCAAGGUUGUUCCAGAUGGUAAGGUUGAUCGUCUUAAGGCUCGUCUUGUUUCCAAGGGAUAUACUCAGAUAUAUGGGCUUGAUUACAGUGAUACCUUCUCUCCCGUGGCUAAGAUAGCAUCAGUCUUCCUUUUUCUCUCUAUGGCUGCUGUUCGCCAUUGGCCUCUGUAUCAGCUGGACAUUAAUAAUGCAUUUUUACACGGUGACCUUGAGGAUGAAGUUUAUAUGGAGCAACCACCUGGGUUUGUUGCUCAGGGGGAGUCUCGUGGCCUUGUAUGUGUUGUUCCAGAUGGUAAGGUUGAUCGUCUUAAGGCUCGUCUUGUUUCCAAGGGAUAUACUCAGAUAUAUGGGCUUGAUUACAGUGAUACCUUCUCUCCCGUGGCUAAGAUAGCAUCAGUCCGCAUUUUUCUAUCCAUGGCUGUUGUUCGCCAUUGGCCACUCUAUCAGCUGGACAUUAAAAUGCAUUUUUACACGGUGACCUUGAGGAUGAAGUUUAUAUGGAGCAACCACCUGGGUUUGUUGCUCAGGGGGAGUCUCGUGGCCUUGUAUGUCGCUNNNN